RNAcentral lists this long non-coding RNA (2189 nucleotides) under Homo sapiens (human). Its description in RNAcentral is "lncAB107.2". Lineage: Eukaryota; Metazoa; Chordata; Mammalia; Primates; Hominidae. The record is from RNAcentral.
GGUAGGCAUUGAGGCAGCCAGCGCAGGGGCUUCUGCUGAGGGGGCAGGCGGAGCUUGAGGAAACCGCAGAUAAGUUUUUUUCUCUUUGAAAGAUAGAGAUUAAUACAACUACUUAAAAAAUAUAGUCAAUAGGUUACUAAGAUAUUGCUUAGCGUUAAGUUUUUAACGUAAUUUUAAUAGCUUAAGAUUUUAAGAGAAAAUAUGAAGACUUAGAAGAGUAGCAUGAGGAAGGAAAAGAUAAAAGGUUUCUAAAACAUGACGGAGGUUGAGAUGAAGCUUCUUCAUGGAGUAAAAAAUGUAUUUAAAAGAAAAUUGAGAGAAAGGACUACAGAGCCCCGAAUUAAUACCAAUAGAAGGGCAAUGCUUUUAGAUUAAAAUGAAGGUGACUUAAACAGCUUAAAGUUUAGUUUAAAAGUUGUAGGUUUCUCUUUUUCAGGCUUAUACUCAUGAAUCUUGUCUGAAGCUUUUGAGGGCAGACUGCCAAGUCCUGGAGAAAUAGUAGAUGGCAAGUUUGUGGGUUUUUUUUUUUUACACGAAUUUGAGGAAAACCAAAUGAAUUUGAUAGCCAAAUUGAGACAAUUUCAGCAAAUCUGUAAGCAGUUUGUAUGUUUAGUUGGGGUAAUGAAGUAUUUCAGUUUUGUGAAUAGAUGACCUGUUUUUACUUCCUCACCCUGAAUUCGUUUUGUAAAUGUAGAGUUUGGAUGUGUAACUGAGGCGGGGGGGAGUUUUCAGUAUUUUUUUUUGUGGGGGUGGGGGCAAAAUAUGUUUUCAGUUCUUUUUCCCUUAGGUCUGUCUAGAAUCCUAAAGGCAAAUGACUCAAGGUGUAACAGAAAACAAGAAAAUCCAAUAUCAGGAUAAUCAGACCACCACAGGUUUACAGUUUAUAGAAACUAGAGCAGUUCUCACGUUGAGGUCUGUGGAAGAGAUGUCCAUUGGAGAAAUGGCUGGUAGUUACUCUUUUUUCCCCCCACCCCCUUAAUCAGACUUUAAAAGUGCUUAACCCCUUAAACUUGUUAUUUUUUACUUGAAGCAUUUUGGGAUGGUCUUAACAGGGAAGAGAGAGGGUGGGGGAGAAAAUGUUUUUUUCUAAGAUUUUCCACAGAUGCUAUAGUACUAUUGACAAACUGGGUUAGAGAAGGAGUGUACCGCUGUGCUGUUGGCACGAACACCUUCAGGGACUGGAGCUGCUUUUAUCCUUGGAAGAGUAUUCCCAGUUGAAGCUGAAAAGUACAGCACAGUGCAGCUUUGGUUCAUAUUCAGUCAUCUCAGGAGAACUUCAGAAGAGCUUGAGUAGGCCAAAUGUUGAAGUUAAGUUUUCCAAUAAUGUGACUUCUUAAAAGUUUUAUUAAAGGGGAGGGGCAAAUAUUGGCAAUUAGUUGGCAGUGGCCUGUUACGGUUGGGAUUGGUGGGGUGGGUUUAGGUAAUUGUUUAGUUUAUGAUUGCAGAUAAACUCAUGCCAGAGAACUUAAAGUCUUAGAAUGGAAAAAGUAAAGAAAUAUCAACUUCCAAGUUGGCAAGUGAUUUAAUAAUAAUUUAAAACUACUAUAGAAACUGCAGAGCAAAGGAAGUGGCUUAAUGAUCCUGAAGGGAUUUCUUCUGAUGGUAGCUUUUGUAUUAUCAAACUUUUUUCAGAUAACAUCUUCUGAGUCAUAACCAGCCUGGCAGUAUGAUGGCCUAGAUGCAGAGAAAACAGCUCCUUGGUAUCUCUUCGUUAUCAGAAGAGUUGCUUCAUUUCAUCUGGGAGCAGAAAACAGCAGGCAGCUGUUAACAGAUAAGUUUAACUUGCAUCUGCAGUAUUGCAUGUUAGGGAUAAGUGCUUAUUUUUAAGAGCUGUGGAGUUCUUAAAUAUCAACCAUGGCACUUUCUCCUGACCCCUUCCCUAGGGGAUUUCAGGAUUGAGAAAUUUUUCCAUCGAGCCUUUUUAAAAUUGUAGGACUUGUUCCUGUGGGCUUCAGUGAUGGGAUAGUACACUUCACUCAGAGGCAUUUGCAUCUUUAAAUAAUUUCUUAAAAGCCUCUAAAGUGAUCAGUGCCUUGAUGCCAACUAAGGAAAUUUGUUUAGCAUUGAAUCUCUGAAGGCUCUAUGAAAGGAAUAGCAUGAUGUGCUGUUAGAAUCAGAUGUUACUGCUAAAAUUUACAUGUUGUGAUGUAAAUUGUGUAGAAAACCAUUAAAUCAUUCAAAAUAAUAAA